Molecule: ribosomal RNA, 420 nt
Filed under: Fusobacteriota bacterium
Lineage: Bacteria; Fusobacteriati; Fusobacteriota
Description: Fusobacteria bacterium partial 16S ribosomal RNA
Rfam family: Bacterial small subunit ribosomal RNA
Source: RNAcentral
UGGGGGAUAUUGCACAAUGGGCGAAAGCCUGAUGCAGCGACGCCGCGUGGGGGAUGAAGGCCUUCGGGUUGUAAACUUCUUUUGCUCUGAACAAGGCAUGCCUUUGGGGUGUGUUGAGUGUAGGGGUUGAUUAGCGCCGGCUAACUACGUGCCAGCAGCCGCGGUAAUACGUAGGGCGCGAGCGUUGUCCGGAAUUAUUGGGCGUAAAGGGCUUGUAGGUGGCUGGUUGCGUCUGUCGUGAAAGCUCAUGGCUUAACUGUGGGUUUGCGGUGGGUACGGGCUGGCUUGAGUGCAGUAGGGGAGGCUGGAAAUCCUGGUGUUGCGGUGGAAUGCGCAGAUAUCAGGAGGAAUACCGGUGGCGAAGGCGGGUCUCUGGGCUGUUACUGACGCUGAGGAGCGAAAGCGUGGGGAGCGAACAGG